GGCCUUUGUUUUUAUUCUCAAGUGCAUCUAUUAUAGCUGGUUUCUUUUCCCCUUCUCCUAUAAAACACAAAGUCCUGUCAUUGAUAAGAUAAGCUACAGUCGGAAUUAAAAAGGCUCCCCUUUCAUGGAUAUAGUCUUAUUUUUUAAAAUUAGGUUAAAUUCCAAGUUUCAACCUUGAACUACCAAAUUUUUAUCUAAUCGGUUAUUGAACUUUAUAGUCUUUGAAUUUCCAAUUGUGUCUAAUAGGUCCACGAGUUUCUAAUGAAUUUUCAAACUUCCAAUUUAGCAUCUAAUAAGUCAUUGAACUUUCAAUUUUGUAUCUAAUGUCUCAUUAGCCUAUAUGACAUUUUCUUAAUGUUUCAAAACUUAUUGUAUACAAAACUAGAAGUUUAGAUAUCUAUUAGACAAUUUUAAAGUCUAAGGAUCUUUGGGACGUAUUUGAUAUUUAAAGUUUAGAGACCUAUUAGAUACAAACCAGACUUGUAAUUUAAUAUAAACAAAUUAGCCCUUGCUCACAGUUUCUUUUGGGAUAUGAAUGGAGUCCCAUGUGUUGGGACAUCAGUCGCUUUUUGGACCCUUUUUGGUGCAUUGUCUCUAAAGAGUAAUGUAGGUAGUCUUCACUCUUUUAACUGGGGUGUCUUAAGCUCCUUAGCUUUUAGGAAGAUUUCUUUUCUUCCACCUAUGUAGAGAUUUUGAUGUUAAUGAAAUGAAGGAAAGAAAAAUCUGAAUCUGCUGGUCUAUAUAAUUUUACUGAUUAAAACAGAACAGGAAUUUAUGAAAUACCACAACACGAUUUAAAGUGUUUUUUUUUUGACAAUAUUCCAUAACAUGACCAGUCUAAUUUAAGCGCUAGGAAGUUGUUUGGUAUUUGUUAGAAUUAGUGGGCUUGGCCCUUAGAGUAUUUUUGGAAAGAAUAUGGAAGAUUUUCUCUAUUUCCUAAAUCGUUUCCUUUUUUACUCCUUAUUGUAUUCUAUUUAUUCUCCCUUUUUGUGCCUAUUGUAUAAAUUCAUCAGAAAAAAAAACUAAAAAUAUCGUGGUUUUUCUCCUGGUACUUGGGUUUCCACGUAAAUCGGUGUGUGCUCUUUGUCUCUACUUUGAAUAUGGUAUUAGAGCGGGACAUUGAACACACCUUAGAAACCCUAGAAGACACAACCAAUGAUGGAAAUCAAACAAAGGAGACAACCACCAGUUUUAGUGCCGCCGUCAUGCUCGGAUCAGUGCUGCCAUGGACAAAUGGUUCCGCCGCCUUCAGAAAACGUUGGAAAAUGCAUCCCUGUGAAUUCUGCAGUCGUUCGCACCACCGAACACACCUCACACGCCACCAUGCCCCUCCCAUGCGCCACUGCCAGACCUCCAUUUCCCUUCAUACUUGUGGGGAGAUACUAUUCUUAUAGCAGCUCAUUUAAUCAAUAGAAUGCCUUCUCGUAUCCUCCACCUUCAUACUCCCAUAGGCUGUCUUAAGGAGUCCUACCCUCUACUUAUCUUGUUUCUGAGGUUCCUCUUCGUGUGUUUGAGUAAUUUUGGCCCUAAUCAGACCAAAUUUACCCUCAAGCUCAGACAUGUGUGUUUGUUGGUAUCCUCUUCAUCAACACGGUUAUAAAUAUUUUCACCUGCUGUCCAGGAAAUACUUUGUUACUGUGGAUGUUACUUUCUGUGAGGACCGACCCUACUUUCCCAUUAGCCAUCUUCCGGGGGAGAGUGUGAGUGAAGAGUCUAACAACACCUUCGAAUUUAUUGAACCUACUCCUAGUACUAUGUCUAACAUCAAUCCUCAUCUCAUAGUCCUACCCACAAACCAAGUUCAUUGGAAAGCGUAUUAUAAAAGGAAUCUCAAAAAGGUAGUCGGGUCCUUACUAGUCAACCACCAACUCUAGUCUAAGAUUCCGAACCUCCUCGAGAUCAAGGUAUGGAAAACCCUACUGAACCUUGUACUAAUAAUACGAUGAGUGAGAAUGACAUGUCUGAUGUUGCUGUUCUUGAAAAUGUGGAAAAAGAAGAACUGUGUUGAUGAGACUGAGGUCAGAACAGAAACCAGUAAUAAUGAAGAAGUUGAACAGGGUCAUACAAAGAAACUUGAUGAGUAUGAUCCCUUUUGACAUUCCCAUUUCUCUGAGAAAAGGGAAGAGAUGAAGACUCUUGAAAAGAAUAGAACUUGGGAGAUUUGUGCUCUACCCAAGGGACUCAAAAUUGUGGGAUGCAAAUGGGUAUUCUCUCUCAAAUACAAAGCAGAUGGUAAUCUUGACAGACACAAGGCAAGGUUAGUUGCAAAGGGAUUUACUCAAACAGUAUUCAUAGGUCUUUUUCUUUGUAGCUGCAAAAUAAUACACUUGAAGCGAGUACUAUUAAAUAAAGGGAAAAGGAAGAGAUGUUUUAUCAUUGAAGAAGAGCAAAUAGUGGGAGAGUGCCCGAGGAUAAAAAACUAUUCAUUUCCUCUGUUAACUCUCUUCUUAUUUCUCCGAAGAAAAUGGUUGGAGCUUUUUUGUUAUCCCUGAUUAGUUAUCCUGUUCUCUAUUGCCACGUGGUUCUAGGACCACUAACCAUUCUAACUUCCAUACCGUCUAUGCGGAAUUUUCCUUUUUACCCCUCCUCUUAUACACUUGGGUAAUGGGUGGCCUGGCAGUACCAAGGCAUCAGACGUCCUUGAUAUUCCUCCUUGACUGGAGGCACUCUCUUUCAUGUCUUUCGCAAGCUGUUCCACACUCUUCUUCAAUCCGAGUAAGAUCUAGAUCUCUUUCAAGUCUAUGAUCUCCUUCUCACUGGACAUCAUUCUUUCCUUCAAUUGUUUAUGAGCCAUUGAACGUGUUCUCCCAAGGAUGUUGAGGCUUUGAUACCAAUUUGUUAGGACCCCAAACCUGAAAAGCAGAAAAAUCCCAACAAAUCAAAACAGAGAAAGUACUCUGUGCAAUACGUUGAUAUAAUAAACUCAAAAGUCUAACAAACAAUCAGGAAUGACAAGUAAGGAAAAUGAAAGCAACAAGAACAGUAACCCAGCUGGUCUAACAAACAAUCAGGAAUAACAAAUAAGGAAAAUGAAAGCAACAAGAAUAGUAACCCAGCUUCUUCAUGAAGGCUGGAAACUUCUCCUAAUAAAGCCUACAGCAGCUUUUUCCGAAACAAAACCGAAAGAGGCUAAUCCCCAAAACAUUCCCUUUAUAUUUCCUUACAAGUGUGGCCCUCAGGUGUAUAUUACUCCCCUCCAAUUGACUCUCUUAUUCCACCAUCCUGUGCAUUCCCCUUUUUGCCCCUUCUCUUAGAUGUGUGAAAAAUUGUGGGUCUAACAGUUGGCUGUCCACAGCAGAAUUCCAUAGUCGAGAGAAAGCAUCGACACAUACUCAAUGUUGCACGAGCUCUUUAUUUUCAACCUCAUGACCCUUUAUCUUUUUGGGGAGAAUGUAUAACUGCAGCUGUUUUUUUAAUAAACAGAACUCUGUCUGGACUAUUCAAACUAGAGUCUUCAUAUCAACUUCUUUAUUAAGAUGUACCCGACUACAAACAAAAAAGAGUUUUUGGCUCACUACGGUUUGCUUCAACCUUGUGCCACAAUAGAUCCAAGUUUCAGCUGUGUGCUAUUGCCUCUGUUUUUGGUGGAUAUCCACAAGGAAUGAAAGCAUACAAGUUAUAUGAUAUUCAACAGUGCAAGUUCUUUUAUCUCAAGGGAUGUUGUAUUCAAUGAAUCAGUUUUCCCAUUUCAUCAUAUGACAGAUAAUGUACAAACACAAGAUCCUUUUCCUGGUUUCGUGCUUCCAAGGUCAUUCAGUAUGGCUGAUUCUACACAUUCUUCUUCAGAUGAUCAUGGAGAUCCUUCAUCAGAUGCGAGAGAACCAUCUAAUGAUCAUGGUGAAUUACCUAAUCAAGAAUCUCUUGAAGAAACUACAAGUCAUCAUUCUGAUGAUCAAUUGCAAGUUGCAAGUGAUGUGAAUAAUGUUCCUCCAGAUUCUAAUAGCCAUAAUCAUGAUGCUCCUAUUUUGCUGCCACUUACAAAGUCUACAAGAGUGACCAAGGCACCUUCUUAUUUCAAGCCUACCAUUGCAACCUUAUGGUCAUGGACUCCAAUCUAGCCAACUGAGUCACUGAUUCUUCUACUCGAUAUCCCAUUAACAAAUAUUUGUCAUACGAAUCUCUCUCCACUUCACAUAGAAACUUCGUUAUCCAAGUCUUAGUAUCUAAAGACUGUUGAAUAAGCAGUUCCGUCUAAGGACUUAGGCUCAUGAAAGUUUUCUUGGAUUGGAGUUGGCAAGAUCGUCUUUGGCCUAUUUUUAUCCCACAGACAUUAUGCUUUACAGUUCGUUGAAGAUACAGAAUUGCUUGGUGCCAAACCAAGUAUCAUUCCGAUGGAUCCUUCAAUAAAACCCUCCUCUUCAGAAGAAGAUUUGUUACAUGAUGCUUCAAUUUAUAGACGAAUAAUUAGUCGUUUGUUAUAUUUGACAAUUUCACGAUCAGAUAUUACUUUUUUUGUGCAUAAACUCAGCCAGUUUACGUCUAAAACAAACAAAACCCAUUUGAAUGCUGUUAGCUACUUGAUUCGUUACAUCAAAGGAACAGCCGGCAAAUUUUUUCUGUCUAGAGUUCCAGAUUUCUCAAUCCAGCCUUGUGCUGAUGCUGAUUGGGCUCAUGUGUUGACACUAGGAGGUCUAUUACAGGGUUUUGUGUUUUUCUUGGUGGCUCAUUGAUAUCUUGGAAGUCCAAGAAACAACAAACGGUUUCCCGGUUAUCUGCAGAAGCAGAAUACCGUGCAAUGGUCGUUGCUUCAUGUGAGAUUGUAUGGCUUAAAAGUCUUUUCAUGGAACUUCAAGUUAACUCUCCAAAACCAGCUCCUCUUUUGUGACAACCAAGGUGCAAUACAUAGAGCUUUGAAUCCCAUGUUCCACGAACGAACAAAACACAUAGAGCUUGAUUGUCAUUUUAUAAGAGAUCAAGUUGCUGAUGGAUCAAUCAAGUUAAUGCCCAUAUGCUCCUCUGCUCAACUAGCUGACAUUUUUACUAAAGCCAUUGACUGCUGCUGUCCUAUUUCCCUUGAUGAGCAAGAUGGGUGUCAAAGAAUAACUCUCCAUCUUGAGGGGGAGUAUUAGAAAAGGUUUAGUUAUUAACAGUUGUAAUUAGUUUGAUAGGUCGUUAUUUUAUUAGUUUUAUUCAACAACCUAUCCCUCCUGUCCAUUUGUAUAAAUAUUACCGUUUUGUAAUUAAUAAAAAGUGUGAGAGCUGAUUACCUUAA
Molecule: long non-coding RNA, 5212 nt
Organism: Cucumis sativus (cucumber)
Lineage: Eukaryota; Viridiplantae; Streptophyta; Magnoliopsida; Cucurbitales; Cucurbitaceae
Exons: 2
Source: RefSeq, a predicted model, not a curated record